RNAcentral lists this long non-coding RNA (239 nucleotides) under Carica papaya (papaya). Its description in RNAcentral is "long non-coding RNA (CPAP_LNC004318)". The record is from RNAcentral. Lineage: Eukaryota; Viridiplantae; Streptophyta; Magnoliopsida; Brassicales; Caricaceae.
CAUCAUGCCAGAUAAUAGAGAAAAUCAAAUAAAUUAUGAAAUGCUUAGAUUUUUGUGUCAUGUUUUGCGAAGUCAUUACGACUUCCAUCUUUGAGGGCAGAUACAGAUUUCCAACUAUCUAAGUGGAAUGAUCAAAUCCGAUACAGAUACGACAAUUUGCUUAGGCCCAUUUUUGGCUGGCCAAACCAUGGUACAUCUAUGACCACAAUCGUACUAGCCAUAGUGGCCCUAACAGAUAU